Molecule: ribosomal RNA, 390 nt
Filed under: uncultured bacterium
Lineage: Bacteria
Description: bacterial SSU rRNA
Rfam family: Bacterial small subunit ribosomal RNA
Source: RNAcentral
AGUGAACGCUGGCGGCAGGCCUAAUACAUGCAAGUCGAACGGCAGUACAGCAGAGCUUGCUCUGUGGGUGGCGAGUGGCGGACGGGUGAGGAAUACAUGGGAAUCUGCCCAGUCGUGGGGGAUAACGUAUGGAAACGUACGCUAAUACCGCAUGCGCCCUACGGGGAAAGUCGGGGACCGCAAGGCCUGACGCGAUUGGAUGAGCCCAUGUUCGAUUAGCUAGUUGGCGGGGUAAAGGCCCACCAAGGCGACGAUCGAUAGCUGGUCUGAGAGGAUGAUCAGCCACACUGGAACUGAGACACGGUCCAGACUCCUACGGGAGGCAGCAGUAGGGAAUAUUGGGACAAUGGGCGCAAGCCUGAUCCAGCCAUGCCGCGUGAGUGAAGAAGG